AUGACCCUGAAAGGAAGAAGAAGAAGAGGAAGAAGAAGAAGAAGAAGAAGAAGAAGAAGAGGAGGAGGAGGAGGAGGAGGAGGAGGAGGAACUGUUCUGGAACAAGCAUGCUAUAGGUAUGCAUGUACACGCACCCCUUCUAGAACAGUGUUAACUGAGCAAUAGUAGAACAGUGCCUGGGUUCACCAAAGUGACCACAAAUUGCUAUUUGUGCCAGGACAAAACAACAACAGUGCUUGGACCUGGAGCUGGAAAGCCAAGACCUCAGUGAUGAACAGGUGCCUGGAAAUGCUUAGGGGCCAGAUGAAAUUAAGCUGGUGGCAGUUGGCAGACCAAAUCUGGUCCUGCUCCCCACUCAAAAAAAAUGAUAGCUUGGUUAGUUAGAGUGUGGUGCUGAUAACAUCAAGGUUGCAGGUUUGAUCCCUGUAUGAGACAGCUGCAUAUUCCUGCAUUGCAGGGGGUUGGACGAGAUUAUUCCCUGGGUCCCCACUCUAAAGUUCUAUGAUUCUAUGACUGAUCUGAUGACUGGGGAAGCACAGAAUUUGAAUCCUUCUCAGGUCACUGGACUACGUGGAGAGGUAUGA
This 584-nucleotide long non-coding RNA is filed under the name Podarcis muralis (Common wall lizard). RNAcentral describes it as "lncRNA (ENSPMRG00000016746.1)". Lineage: Eukaryota; Metazoa; Chordata; Lepidosauria; Squamata; Lacertidae. The record is from RNAcentral.